This 2989-nucleotide ribosomal RNA is filed under the name Gaiella occulta. Its description in RNAcentral is "bacterial LSU rRNA". It matches the Rfam family "Bacterial large subunit ribosomal RNA". The record is from RNAcentral. Lineage: Bacteria; Bacillati; Actinomycetota; Thermoleophilia; Gaiellales; Gaiellaceae.
UCAAGAGAAUAAGGGCACACGGUGGAUGCCUUGGCGCCAAGAGCCGAUGAAGGACGUGGGCGGCUGCGAUAAGCCUCGGGGAGGUGCUGACCAACCUUUGAUCCGGGGAUCUCCGAAUGAGGAAACUCACGCGUGGUAAUGCGCGCGUACUCCUGCCUGAAUGAAAUAGGGCAGGUAGAGGCAAGCUGGGGAACUGAAACAUCUAAGUACCCAGAGGAAAGGAAAGAAACCUCGACUCCCUGAGUAGUGGCGAGCGAAAGGGGAAGAGCCCAAACCCGGGCGAUGUGAUAGACGGCAGUCGUUGUCGUUCGGGGGUUGUAGGGCCUGUCUUGAUCCGCCUGCCGGCGGGUCGGGAAGUUACAAAGUCGCGUGAUAGCGGAACCGGAUGGAAAGCCGGGCCACAGCGGGUAACAGCCCCGUACGCGAAAUUGCGUGGCCUUCCUCGACAGGUACCUGAGUACGGCCGGGCACGGGAAACCCGGUCGGAACCCGCGGGGACCACCCCGCAAGGCUAAGUACUCCUUGGCGACCGAUAGUGAACUAGUACCGUGAGGGAAAGGUGAAAAGUACCCCGGAAGGGGAGUGAAAUAGCACCUGAAACCGUGUGCUUACAAGCGGUCGGAGCAGGCUUUGUCCUGUGACGGCGUGCCUUUUGCAUAAUGAGCCAGCGAGUUACUCUUCAACGGCGAGGUUAAGGAAACGGAGCCGUAGCGAAAGCGAGUCUGAAUAGGGCGCUCUAGUCGUUGGAGGUAGACCCGAAACUGAGUGAUCUACCCAUGGGCAGGUUGAAGCGAGGGUAAGACCUCGUGGAGGACCGAACACACGUCGGUUGAAAACGGCGGUGAUGACCUGUGGGUCGGAGUGAAAGGCUAAUCAAACUCAGAGAUAUCUGGUUCUCCCCGAAAUAUAUUUAGGUAUAGCGUCACGUGUUCAUUGCCGGUUGUAGAGCACUGUUUGGUCUAGGGGGCCUACCAGCUUACCGAAAUCAGGCAAACUCCGAAUGCCGGCAAUCCAGAGCGUGGCAGUCAGAGUGCGGGGGAUAAGCUUCGUGCUCGAAAGGGAAACAGCCCAGACCGUCGGCUAAGGCCCCUAAUUCCAUGCUAAGUGGGAAACGAUGUCCGAUUGCAGAGACAACCAGGAUGUUGGCUUAGAAGCAGCCACCAUUAAAAGAGUGCGUAACAGCUCACUGGUCAAGUGGUCGGGCGCGGACAAUGUAACGGGGCUCAAGCAUGGAGCCGAAGCCACGGACUUCACGCCUCGCGUGGAGUGGUAGGGGAGCGUUCCCAUGCCGGCGAAGCGGCGGCGGAAGCCAGUCGUGGAGGCAUGGGAAGUGAGAAUGCUGGCAUGAGUAACGAAAGAGGAGUGAAAAACUCCUCCGCCGAAUGCCCAAGGGUUCCUGAGUAAAGCUAAUCUACUCAGGGUUAGUCGGGACCUAAGCCGAGGCCGCAAGGCGUAGGCGAUGGACAACAGGUUGAUAUUCCUGUACCACGUAGCGACCGUUACCACCGAUGGCGGGACGGGGUAGGCUAGGGGAACCCAGGCGAUGGUCGUCCUGGGGUAACCGCGUAGGGCGGGUGAUAGGGAAAUCCGUCACCCAUGGAGCCUGAGACGGGACGCCGAGUCCGUAAGGACGAAGUCCUUGAAGCCAUGCCUCCGAGAAAAGCGUCUAGGGAGGUCGCGCGUGCCCGUACCAAAACCGACACAGGUGGGCAGGUAGAGAAUACCAAGGCGAUCGGAAGAACCCUCGUUAAGGAACUCGGCAAAAUGGUCCCGUAACUUCGGGAGAAGGGACGCCCCGGUAGAGUGGAAUUCCUUCGCGGAAUCGAGCUCGAGGGGGCCGCAGUGAAACGGCCCAAGCGACUGUUUACCAAAAACACAGGUCUCUGCGAAGUCGUAAGACGACGUAUAGGGGCUGACGCCUGCCCGGUGCUGGAAGGUCACGAGGAGAGGUUAGCCUUCGGGCGAAGCUUUGAAUCCAAGCCCCAGUAAACGGCGGCGGUAACUAUAACCGUCCUAAGGUAGCGAAAUUCCUUGUCGGGUAAGUUCCGACCUGCACGAAUGGCGUAACGACUUGGGCGCUGUCUCAACGAGGGAUCCGGUGAAAUUGUAGUCUCGGUGAAGAUGCCGAGUACCCGUGGCUGGACGGAAAGACCCCGUGAACCUUUACUACAGCUUUGCGUUGAAGUUUGGUGUUCGUUGUCCAGGAUAGGUGGGAGACUGUGAAGCGGAGGCGUCAGCUUUCGUGGAGUCAACCUUGGGAUACCACCCUUCGGAUUCUGGGCUUCUAACCCGAUGCCGUGAUCCGGGUCGGGAACAGCGCGAGGUGGGUAGUUUGACUGGGGCGGUCGCCUCCUAAAAUGUAACGGAGGCGCGCAAAGGUUCCCUCAGCACGGUUGGAAAUCGUGCGUAGAGCGCAAAAGCAUAAGGGAGCUUGACUGCGAGACUGACAAGUCGAGCAGGGACGAAAGUCGGCUUUAGUGAUCCGGCGGUUAAGAGUGGAAUUGCCGUCGCUCAACGGAUAAAAGGUACUCCGGGGAUAACAGGCUUAUCCUCCCCAAGAGUCCACAUCGACGGGAGGGUUUGGCACCUCGAUGUCGGCUCGUCGCAUCCUGGGGCUGAAGCAGGUCCCAAGGGUUGGGCUGUUCGCCCAUUAAAGCGGUACGCGAGCUGGGUUCAGAACGUCGUGAGACAGUUCGGUCCCUAUCCGCCAUGGGCGCUGGGAGCUUGAGAGGAGUCGUCUCUAGUACGAGAGGACCGAGAUGAACAGGCCUCUGGUGUAUCAGUUGUCGUGCCAACGGCACUGCUGAUUAGCUACGCCUGGACGGGAUAACCGCUGAAAGCAUCUAAGCGGGAAGCCCACCUCAAGAUGAGGCUCCCCAUCACUUCGAGUGAGUAAGGGCCGUGGAAGACCACCACGUCGAUAGGCGGGCGGUGUAAGCACAGCAAUGUGUUCAGCUGACCCGUACUAAUUGCCCGAGGUCUUGAUUUU